NNNAAAAAAAAAAAAAAAAAAAAAAAAAAAAAAAAAAAAAAAAAAAACACUAACCAAACGUGUAGUAUCAUGGAGCUAGACCAAUUUGAUAUCAGUAUAAAUAGAAUAGAAGAAAAAGACGAAAAAAUUCACUACAUAAUUUUAAUUCAAUAUAAAGAUCUAAAAUAUGAAAUAAACAGGAGAUAUAGCGAAUUUGAAGAAUUGCAUUGUGAAUUGUUACAUAUGGGUUUUUCAUCUUUACCUAAUUUACCUCAAAAAAAAUUACUUUCAUACAAAAAUUAUGAAUACAUAAAUUAUAGAAAGAAUAUAUUAAAUUCGUAUAUACAGAAUUUAUUUGUUAGACCUGAUAUAAGGUGUUGUGCUGUUUUUUUAAAUUUUAUUUUAUUUUAUGAAAAAAUUAACACAUCAAUCGAAAUAGUAAGAACUAAACUGAUAAAUAAUAUCGGAUCUCAAAAAUAUCCUCUUAGCGAUUUAUAUAUUAACGAAAAAAAACAUUUUAUUAUUUGUGUAUAUGAAGAUAAAAGUAACUUAAGUAAACUAGGUAAAUUAUGGUCUAUAAUCGAACCAGAUGUCGUUGGGGAAAUAAAAAUUUUUUCAUAUGAUAAUGACUUGACAUCGAAUUUCACUGAAACGUUUAAAGAACAAACUAUUUAUAAAGCACGAAAUAUUAUUUUUUCAUCUUUUAAAAAUGAAGUACUUAUAUCUGGAGAUGAUGGAAAAAUACAUAUAUAUAAACUAAAUAUAAAUUCAUUAACAUUGACAUAUAUAAAAAAAAUACCAUGUCAUAAUGAAACGAUACUAAAAAUUAUUUUAUUAAAUGACAAAUAUUUUUGUACAUGUGGUUAUGAUAAUGCUUUUAGGUUAAUACGAUUAAAUGAUUAUAAAAUAAUUAGUGGUGGAAGAUGUAAUAAUAGGUUAAAGAAUCAUAAAAUAACAACAUGUCAUUUGUUAGAACAUAACAACAUUAUAUUAGGUACUACUAAUUCUUUAUUUUUUAUUUAUAAUAUGAGUUAUAAUCCACCUAUUUAUUUAAAUGAGAUAAAACUAAGAAACGGCUCUAAUAUUACUUGUUUUACAAAUACAGAUAAAUAUAUAUUUGUAGGAUAUGAUAAUAUAAUUGCUUGUUAUAAUUAUCACUACGUAAGUGAGCAAAAAAAUGGAAACGAAAAUAAAAUGAAUGAUAUAUCCAUGGUAAAUAAUAUUACCAAUCAACAACAUACAAUAGAUACUUCAUAUGAUAAUACAGAUACAGACAUGACAUUUGAAAAUUGCAACAAAAGUAAUGAUAAUUGUAACAACAAAUUGAACCACUACACUACAACCAAUAAAGACGAUCCAAGUGAACUCAAUACAAAUAGAAACAUAAUGAAACUAGUUGUUGAGAAUAACAUAUCAGCACAAUAUAUACCCCCGUUACUUUAUGAUUGUACAGUUAUGUCCUUAUGUGUAAAUAAAGAAAAAAAAAUUUUAUAUGCUGGUUAUCAAGAUGCUAUAAUACUUUGGUCAAUUAUGAACGGUUUAAUUAUAUCUUCAUUUCAUGGUCAUACUAAUGGAGUACAUUUUUUAAUGUAUCUUUCAGAAACGGAUUUUUUAUUAUCAGGGGGUAAUAGUGGGAACUUAAAAAUAUGGAAAAGUGAUGUAGAUAAUUUUAAAGUAUGGAAACCCAAAAAAAUAUAUAAAAGUAAUGACACAACAAAAACAAUCAACACAAAUAACAAUUAUAUAAAAAAAAAAAAAAACAACUUCCUUUUCAAUAAUAUUAAUAAUACUAAUAACUACUAUAGCAAUAGCAGUACAAACAGUAACAAUAACCAUGAGUAUAAGGUAAUUUAUGAAAACAACUUCAAUUUCAACGAAAAUGAUAAUGAUGAUAGUACCAGUAACAACAGUAGUCGCAGAAGCAGUAAGAGUAGCACAAACAGUGAAUUAACACACUCGAUAGAUAAUUUGUUAGAGCAGACGAAUAAAAACAAGUAUCUCAAAAGUCCUGUUGUCAAUGUUGCUUAUACCUCAAAUGAUCAUAACACCACCAGCAGUCCUAAAACCAUCAGCGGUCCCAAUUACAAUACUAAUAACUACAACUUUAAUGAAUAUGUAACCAAUAACAACCAGAAAAACAACUCACAAAGUAAUAGUUUGUUUGAUGACCAUUUAAAUGAGUCAUAUGAAUACCAAGCAGAAGCAAGCAACCUAGAUGUAUGUGUGAUACCCAAUCCAAAUGAUAAAAGAAAAAAAAGUGAAAUAAUCAAUCAACAUGCAAACCAAAAUGUAUCAGAUAUUGAUGGUGAUAACAAUUUUAAUACUUUUAAAAAUUAUGAAUAUAAUAACAAACAAAAUUUGGAACUUACCUACUCUUCCAACGAAAAUAUGAAACGUGAUGAUGAUAUUCCAUUUGGAAAUAUAAAUGAUAAUUAUGAAACAAAAUAUAAUAAAAAUAGGUCUAAUAACAUGUACCAAAACGAAGAUGUAUAUAACAACAACCUGUUGAAUAGAAUAAGGACAAACGAAAACAUACUAAAUCAAAAAGAUAUAAAUCAAACAAAUUAUAAAUAUUCUAAUAUACAUGAAAUGCAAAAUGAUAAACAACACGUAAAAAUAAACAAAAAAAACGAUGGUGAAUAUAAUAAGGACAAAACUGAAGCAGACGAUUACGAAGAUUUUAAAAAAAAUAUAGUAUAUGUCAAUAAUGAGGAUGAUGAUUUAGCUUCAGCUUUUACCUGAUUUAUUUUGACACGCUCCAAAAGCAUUGUGUAUGUAUUUUGUACACAUUUAUAUAUG
Molecule: long non-coding RNA, 2778 nt
Filed under: Piliocolobus tephrosceles (Ugandan red Colobus)
Lineage: Eukaryota; Metazoa; Chordata; Mammalia; Primates; Cercopithecidae
Description: lncRNA (ENSPTEG00000015236.1)
Source: RNAcentral